RNAcentral lists this unclassified non-coding RNA (278 nucleotides) under Hevea brasiliensis (rubber tree). Lineage: Eukaryota; Viridiplantae; Streptophyta; Magnoliopsida; Malpighiales; Euphorbiaceae. The record is from RNAcentral.
ACAAGAUCAGGUAUUAAUACAAACUGUUUACCAGCACCAUAAAUCUCAUUGAAAAUUCCAUUGGUGUUAUUUCUCUGAAUUUAUUGGAUUAAGUUUUAUGGCAAGCAUGAUCCUUAGAAUUCAAGGCUCAUAUAACAUAAACUAUUUUAGAAAACAGAGGAAAAACUGUGCAAGUGAGUGUCGGGUACAAUGCAGAGAUUAGGCUAAUUGAGGACCACAGCAUAUAUGAGGAUAUGUAUAGCCAAGCGCAGCGCAGUCUGUUUGAACUUGAGAUUCAG